UGUCUGUGUGGUGGUUUGAGAAAGUGAAUGUUGGGGCAUUGGAGUACUCAGGGUUUUUUGUUUGCCAUGGAUAAAGGGUGGACACAGUUACCCUUGUUUGUAAUCUUCCUGCUCUUUUUGAGUAAUACUCAUGGAUUUAAAGGUGGGGCUCAUUCAGAUGCCCGCCACCGGUGGGGCCAAGCUUCAGACAGAACGUUCUCACCUCGUGCAGUCCAGUCUUCUGUGUCAGAGGUCCCUGUGACUGGGAUUUUGCCUGAAGAAGUGGG
This is a long non-coding RNA of Rhinichthys klamathensis goyatoka, 266 nucleotides long. RefSeq lists it as uncharacterized. The transcript is spliced from 3 exons. NCBI's taxonomy places the organism in Eukaryota, Metazoa, Chordata, Actinopteri, Cypriniformes, Leuciscidae. The record is from RefSeq and is a predicted model, not a curated record.